AGCAGCCUCGGUAAUUCCAGCUCCAAUAGCGUAUAUUAAAGUUGUUGCAGUUAAAAAGCUCGUAGUUGAAUUUCGGGAUCAAUAUUUCGGUCAUGCCGUUGGUAUGCACUGUUAUCAUUGAUUUCUCACCUUCUAAAGAACCGUAAUGCCAUUAAUUUGGUGUUACGGGGAAUUAGGACUGUUACCUUGAAAAAAUUAGAGUGUUUAAAGCAGGCUCACGCUUGAAUACAUUAGCAUGGAAUAAUGAAAUAGGACAUCCGAUUCUAUUUUGUUGGUUUCUAGGAUCGAUGUAAUGAUUAAUAGGGAUAGUUGGGGGCAUUAGUAUUCAAUUGUCAGAGGUGAAAUUCUUGGAUUUAUUGAAGACUAACUACUGCGAAAGCAUUUGCCAAGGAUGUUUUCAUUAAUCAAGAACGAAAGUUAGGGGAUCGAAGACGAUCAGAUACCGUCGUAGUCUUAACCAUAAACUAUGCCGACUAGGGAUCGGAUGAUGUUAAUUUUUUAAUGACUCAUUC
RNAcentral lists this ribosomal RNA (512 nucleotides) under uncultured fungus. Its description in RNAcentral is "SSU rRNA". It matches the Rfam family "Eukaryotic small subunit ribosomal RNA", at positions 569 to 1081 of the family's 1831-position model. The record is from RNAcentral. Lineage: Eukaryota; Fungi.